Molecule: long non-coding RNA, 991 nt
Organism: Acanthochromis polyacanthus (spiny chromis)
Lineage: Eukaryota; Metazoa; Chordata; Actinopteri; Pomacentridae
Exons: 3
Source: RefSeq, a predicted model, not a curated record
CCUGUGGACCCAUUAGAGCUGCGCUCCAGUCCAGAGAUGAGACGCCACGGCGCUGAUUUACUAUUCAGAGGUUAUUCAUCGCCUGUGGAUAAAAAGACAAUUGAAUUAUGCUGUUGGAGGAGCAAAGACUGGGACCGAACAGUUCAGGAUGGACGAUCUGCGUGAACUGAGAUGGAAAGACAAGAGAGCAGACAGACAGAAAUGUCUGAUCCUUCUGAUUGCUCCAGGCGACUUCCUGCUUCUCUGAUCAGCUUUUUGAGUCGAUGAAAAACAGAGAUGGGAGCGCUGCUUGCUGUCAAGGCUGCUGAUAUUUACUGAGAUGUCAACACAAAGCUCAAGGUCACUGGGCACACUGAACUGAAACUACUCAGCAACAAUCUCUCAUUUUGAGGACCUUAUCCUCUGUGGACCUGUUGCCAUGGAAACAGCAGCAAGGAGAAGACACAUGACCUUGUGUGGGAGUCAUAGUUACAGAGUUACAGACUUUUAUCUGUCCACUUUAAGGAUAUAGUCUAAUAGUUAACACUCUGGUAUCACCCAGCGGGGGAUUCAUUUUCUCCUCCACGUCUGAUUCCUGCUGCUACUGUUACUAAAACCCAUCACAUGUCGACUGUUAACAGAGAAAAGAAACUGUUGGAGGCGCCGUGGAUGCAGAAGAGUCCCGUGACUGUUAACAUUUAAAGUUGGGCUGAAUUAACCCUGCAGCUCCUUCAGGCUGCAUUAGUCCAUAAUUACAUGGUUUCAUGUUUUCCCUUCGCUCACAUUUUGCCUCGUAAUGGUUUACUUCUGCAAAUAUUUUAGUCCAGCUGGCGCGAGAGUGUAACUGUAGAAGGUGAGCGCUUUCUCGUCUGCUCAUGAACAUCUGAGAGAAACCCCAACACGGCGUAAUAAAGCCAAGAAGAGACACGAUCAGAGAGAAUAACAUGUCAGGAUUAGAAAUAAGAGAGAAAUGUUGUCGUAAAAUCUGUUUCAAGGCAUUUUCUUUAUUUGC